This 864-nucleotide long non-coding RNA is filed under the name Homo sapiens (human). RNAcentral describes it as "non-protein coding lnc-TYW1-8:1". Lineage: Eukaryota; Metazoa; Chordata; Mammalia; Primates; Hominidae. The record is from RNAcentral.
GCGUGCCACCACACCUGGCUAAUUUUUUGUAUUUUUAGUAGAGAUGGGGUUUCGUUAUGUUAGCUAGGAUGGUCUCGAAAUCCUGACCUCGUAAUUCGCCCGCCUAGGCCUCCCAAAGUGCUGGGAUUAUAGGCGUGAGCUAUGGCGCCCGGCCAAAGCGUCCUUUUUAUAUAGCCUGGCAGAUACAAUCCAUUGCAUACACGCUCUCAAGAUAAAUAGUAACUCAUCCUCAUGCAAAAGGACUUGCUAUGCAGUUUUUUUUGUUUUGUUUUUUUUGAGACAGGGUCUCAUUCUGUCAUCCAGGCUGGAGUGUAGUGGUGUGAUCUUCUUGGCUCACUGUAACCUCCACCUCCUGGGUUCAAGUGAUUCUCGUGCCUAAGCCUCCCAAGUAGCUGGAAUUACAGACGUGCCAUCAUGCCCAGCUAAUAUUUGUAUUUUAGUAGAGACAGAGUUUCGCCAUACUGGCCAGGCUGGACUCAAACUUCUUCUUUCGAUUUCUGUGUGGCUUCAAGUGAUCCGCCUGUCUCUGCCUCCCCCAGAGUGCUGGGAUUACAGGUGUGAGCCACCAGGCCUGGCCUGCUAUGCAUUCUUAAACACUCAUCCUAAAUUCACCUGGAAAUCAACGUGGCCAUCCAUGCUAGUUAAUUACCUGUAUCCAAUGAAAAAAUAAAACUUCUCACAUCUCCUUGACAAGCAGGUAGUAACAGCUCAAGGUGCCUAGGCUAAAUUCCCUAGGCAACAGGAAGAUAGGGACACUAUUUUCCUCCAGGUUUAGCAUGAGCCACUGAGCCCAGCCGGGAACCCACAGGUUUUUUGGAUGGUCUCUGAAUGUCAUGUAACUCUUUCAUUUUUUAUCAAAAAAAU